RNAcentral lists this ribosomal RNA (2826 nucleotides) under Thalassionema nitzschioides. RNAcentral's name for it is "partial Bacterial large subunit ribosomal RNA". It matches the Rfam family "Bacterial large subunit ribosomal RNA". Lineage: Eukaryota; Bacillariophyta; Fragilariophyceae; Thalassionematales; Thalassionemataceae. The record is from RNAcentral.
CAAGGAACUAAGAGUUUAUGGGGAAUACCUUGGCAUUCAGAAGCGAUGAAGGACGUGGUUACCGACGAAACGCUUCGGGGAGCUGGAAACGAGCUAUGAUCCGGAGGUAUCCGAAUGAGGCAACUUGAAAACUACUUAUUGAAUAUAUAAAUAAGAAAGAGUAAACCUAGGGAACUGAAACAUCUUAGUACCUAGAGGAAAAGAAAGUAAAAACGAUUCCCUUAGUAGCGGCGAGCGAAAUGGGAAGAGCCUAAACUUAUAAAUAAGGGUAGUGGGACGAUCAAAAAUGAUUAAAUGUGACAAUUAGAUGAAUAAGUUGGAAUACUUAACCAUAGAAAGUGAUAGUCUUGUAAUCGAAAAUUGAAACAAUCAAGAUUAAAUCCCAAGUAGCAUGGAGCACGUGAAAUUCCGUGUGAAUCUGCGAGGACCACCUCGUAAGGCUAAAUAUUACUGAAUGACCGAUAGUGAAAAAGUACCGUGAGGGAAAGGUGAAAAGAACCCCGGGAGGGGAGUGAAAAGAACAUGAAACCAUAAACUUACAAUCAGUAGGAGGACAACUGAAAUGUCUGACUGCGUGCCUGUUGAAGAAUGAGCCGGCGACUUAUAGUUAGUGGCAGGUUAAAACAUUUCAAUGUUGGAGCCAUAGUGAAAGCGAGCCUGAAUAGGGCGUUAGUCUCUAAUUAUAGACCCGAACCCGGAUGAUCUAACCAUGGUCAGGUUGAAGCUUAGGUAAUACUAAGUGGAGGACCGAACCGACUGAUGUUGAAAAAUCAGCGGAUGAAUUGUGGUUAGGGGUGAAAUGCCAAUCGAAUUCGGAGCUAGCUGGUUCUCCCCGAAAUGCGUUUUGGCGCAGCGAUAAAUGUUAUAAUUUAGGGGUAAAGCACUGUUACGUAUGAGGGCUGGUAAUUCGGUACCAAAUCGUUGCAAACUAAGAAUACUAAAUGUACAAUUUAUCAGUGAGACUGUGGGGGAUAAGCUUCAUUGUCAAGAGGGAAACAGCCCAGAGCACCAGUUAAGGCCCUUAAAUAAUUACUAAGUGAUAAAGGAAGUGGGAGUGCAGAAACAAUCAGGAGGUUUGCUUAGAAGCAGCAAUCCUUUAAAGAGUGCGUAAUAGCUCACUGAUCGAGUAAACCUGCGCCGAAAAUGUACGGGACUAAGUAAUUUGCCGAAACUGUGCGAUAUAUUUGAAUAUAUCGGUAGGGGAGCGUUCUGUUGUAGGUUGAAGUAUUAGCGUAAGCGGAUAUGGACGAAGCAGAAGUGAGAAUGUCGGCUUGAGUAGCGAAAAUAUAGGUGAGAAUCCUAUACCCCGAAAACCCAAGGUUUCCUCCGGAAGGCUCGUCCGCGGAGGGUAAGUCAGGACCUAAGGCGAGACUGAAAAGUGUAGUCGAUGGAUAACGGGUUAAUAUUCCUGUACCAUUAUUUAUUGAUAUCGAAGGACGGAGAAGGCUAUUUUGGCCGGAGAUUGGUAUUCCGGUUUAAAUGUUUAGGCGUGUACGGCGAAAACGUACUAUUGAGCUAAGGCAUGAAUACGAGACGCUACGGCGUUGGAGCAAAAGAUGUCAGGCUUCCAAGAAAAGCUCGCACUGUCAUAAAUAAAUAAUGCCUGUACCAUAACCGACACAGGUGGGUAGGUAGAGUAUACUAAGGGGCGCGAGAUAACUCUCUCUAAGGAACUCGGCAAAAUAACUCCGUAACUUCGGGAGAAGGAGUGCCUUAUUUUUAAGGUUGCAAUAACAAGAUCCAAGCAACUGUUUAUCAAAAACACAGGUCUCCGCUAAGUCGUAAGACGAUGUAUGGGGGCUGACGCCUGCCCAGUGCCAGAAGGUUAAAGAAGCUGGUUAGCAAUAGCGAAGCUAGUAACUGAAGCCCUGGUGAACGGCGGCCGUAACUAUAACGGUCCUAAGGUAGCGAAAUUCCUUGUCGGGUAAGUUCCGACCUGCACGAAUGGCGUAACGACUUCCCCGCUGUCUCCAACAUAGACUCAGCGAAAUUGAAUUACCUGUCAAGAUGCAGGUUUCCCGCGGUUAGACGGAAAGACCCCGUGCACCUUUACUACAGCUUCACACUGGCAAUAGGUCAGGCAUGUGCAGGAUAGGUGGUAGGCUUUGAAGCAGGGACGCUAGUCCUUGUGGAGCCACCCUUGAGAUACCACCCUUGCCUCGCUUGUUGUCUAACCGCGGUCCGUUAUCCGGAUCCGGGACCCUGUGUGGCGGGUAGUUUGACUGGGGCGGUCGCCUCCUAAAGCGUAACGGAGGCGCGCGAAGGUUGGCUCAGAGCGGUCGGAAAUCGCUCGUUGAGUGCAAUGGCAGAAGCCAGCCUGACUGCGAGACUGACAAGUCGAGCAGAGUCGAAAGACGGCCAUAGUGAUCCGGUGGUCCCAAGUGGGAGGGCCAUCGCUCAACGGAUAAAAGGUACGCCGGGGAUAACAGGCUGAUGAUGCCCAAGAGUCCAUAUCGACGGCAGUGUUUGGCACCUCGAUGUCGGCUCAUCGCAUCCUGGGGCGGUAGUACGUCCCAAGGGUUGGGCUGUUCGCCCAUAAAAGCGGUACGCGAGCUGGGUUCAGAACGUCGUGAGACAGUUCGGUCCCUAUCUUCCGUGGGUGUAGGAUACUUGAGAGGAGUUGCCCCUAGUACGAGAGGACCGGGGUGAACGAUCCACUGGUGGACCAGUUGUCGUGCCAACGGCAGUGCUGGGUAGCUAUGAUCGGACAGGAUAACCGCUGAAGGCAUCUAAGCGGGAAGCCCCCCUCAAAACAAGGUAUCCCUGAGAGCCGAGGUAGACCACCUCGUCGAUAGGCCAGAGAUGUAAGCGCUGUAAGGCGUUCAG